AUUGAACGCUGGCGGCAGGCCUAACACAUGCAAGUCGAACGGUAACAGGAAGCAGCUUGCUGCUUCGCUGACGAGUGGCGGACAGGUGAGUAAUGUCUGGGAAGCUGCCUGAUGGAGGGGGAUAACUACUGGAAACGGUAGCUAAUACCGCAUAAUGUCGCAAGACCAAAGAGGGGGACCUUCGGGCCUCUUGCCAUCGGAUGUGCCCAGAUGGGAUUAGCUUGUUGGUGGGGUAACGGCUCACCAAGGCGACGAUCCCUAGCUGGUCUGAGAGGAUGACCAGCCACACUGGGACUGAGACACGGUCCAGACUCCUACGGGAGGCAGCAGUGGGGAAUAUUGCACAAUGGGCGCAAGCCUGAUGCAGCCAUGCCGCGUGUAUGAAGAAGGCCUUCGGGUUGUAAAGUACUUUCAGCGGGGAGGAAGGGAGUAAAGUUAAUACCUUUGCUCAUUGACGUUACCCGCAGAAGAAGCACCGGCUAACUCCGUG
RNAcentral lists this ribosomal RNA (490 nucleotides) under uncultured bacterium. Its description in RNAcentral is "partial 16S ribosomal RNA". It matches the Rfam family "Bacterial small subunit ribosomal RNA", at positions 30 to 507 of the family's 1533-position model. The record is from RNAcentral.